AGGACGAACGCUGGCGGCGUGCUUAACACAUGCAAGUCGAGCGGAAAGGCCCUUCGGGGUACUCGAGCGGCGAACGGGUGAGUAACACGUGAGUAAUCUGCCCCUAGCUCUGGGAUAGCUCCGGGAAACCGGGAUUAAUACCAGAUACGACCACUUUAGACAUCUUCUGUGGUGGAAAGAACUUCGGCUAGGGAUGAACUCGCGGCCUAUCAGCUUGUUGGUGAGGUAACGGCUCACCAAGGCGACGACGGGUAGCCGGCCUGAGAGGGCGACCGGCCACACUGGGACUGAGACACGGCCCAGACUCCUACGGGAGGCAGCAGUGGGGAAUAUUGCGCAAUGGGCGAAAGCCUGACGCAGCGACGCCGCGUGGGGGAUGAAGGCCUUCGGUUGUAAACCCUUUCAGCAGGGACGAAGCGAAAGUGACGGUACCUGCAGAAGAAGCGCCGGCUAACUACGUGCCAGCAGCCGC
This 472-nucleotide ribosomal RNA is filed under the name uncultured bacterium. RNAcentral's name for it is "SSU rRNA". It matches the Rfam family "Bacterial small subunit ribosomal RNA", at positions 26 to 518 of the family's 1533-position model. The record is from RNAcentral.